This 77-nucleotide transfer RNA is filed under the name Clostridiales bacterium. RNAcentral's name for it is "tRNA-Pro". It matches the Rfam family "tRNA". From Rfam's summary of the family: Transfer RNA (tRNA) molecules are approximately 80 nucleotides in length. Their secondary structure includes four short double-helical elements and three loops (D, anti-codon, and T loops). Further hydrogen bonds mediate the characteristic L-shaped molecular structure. tRNAs have two regions of fundamental functional importance: the anti-codon, which is responsible for specific mRNA codon recognition, and the 3' end, to which the tRNAs corresponding amino acid is attached (by aminoacyl-tRNA synthetases). tRNAs cope with the degeneracy of the genetic code in two manners: having more than one tRNA (with a specific anti-codon) for a particular amino acid; and 'wobble' base-pairing, i.e. permitting non-standard base-pairing at the 3rd anti-codon position. Lineage: Bacteria; Bacillati; Bacillota; Clostridia; Eubacteriales. RNAcentral also lists the same sequence under 1 other name. The record is from RNAcentral.
CGAGGUGUAGCGCAGUUUGGUAGCGUGCUUGGUUCGGGACCAAGAGGCCCAGGGUUCGAAUCCCUGCACCUCGACCA